Molecule: long non-coding RNA, 1173 nt
Organism: Cyprinus carpio carpio
Lineage: Eukaryota; Metazoa; Chordata; Actinopteri; Cypriniformes; Cyprinidae
Source: Ensembl
CGCCUAGCACACAGACCGUUUUUCCUUUCGUUAAACUAGCAAAAGUGGAUUCCGACAUGCCUUAACUGCACUUGUGCCUUGCGCUUUAGACUAUGAGCUUAGAUCAUUAAAAUAUGGCCCUUAGUGUCCUUUUGAGUGCACCUGCCUCCCAUGCCAGUUGAUGUUGGUUCGAAUCCCAUUUGGAGCAAUGCAAGUAGGAACAGUUGCAGUGGUGCCAUGACCCAAAUGGGAGUAAAGUUUAGGGGGUGAGUGUAACAGGGCAGCUAGUAAACAACACUAGAGGCUUUUAUGUCCUUGUGAUUGCAUCUGCCUCCCAUACCAGUUGAUGCUGGUUCCAUUCACACUCUGAGUGGUGCAAGUAAGACUAGUAACAUUGGUGCCGUGACCCGGAUAGGAGUAAGGACUAGGGGGUGAGUGUAAUGGAGGCCAGCUAAUGAAUAACAUUAGAGUCUCUGGCAUUGUGAGUGCACCUGCCUCCAAUGCCAGUUGACAAUGGUUUGAAUCCAUUUGCAGUGGUGUAAGUAGGACCAAUUACAUUGGAGUUGUGACCCAGACUGUAUAGGAUCUUGAGUGCUCAGCAAUGUAUUCAAAGUUUGAAUUCAACUUGCAAUAUCAUGUUAUAUCUUAUUAAUAAAAGUUAAAAAAAAAAAAGUGUUAAAACAUGCUAAAAAAAAAAAAAAACUGUGUAAUCUUCAGUUUCAUCUCUUCUGUCGUAAUCAGUGCGCACAUACAUACACAUAAGCAUGAGUUAACCUAGAGCAGAUAUUUUAAUGCGGGAGCUGUGGAGGUUGCUGACACAGUAAGCAAAGGGGCAGGGACAGAAACCCCUCAUUAAGAUUGAAUUAAACAGACCUUUGAUGGGAAGUCCUGCAUUAGUUCAGUCUGGCAACACAUGAAAGAGCAGUCGUGAGAGACAGGGAUCUGCACUCGUCACUCUCUCCAGCGCACACUUGCAGACAUUUCAUUUCUCAAAAAAACACACACAUAUACACACACGCACUGAAAACCACAACACUGCCACAUACAAACAAAGAUGAUGUUCAGAAUAUCACACAGUAGACUUUGGCUGUAUUUAGUAUGCUGUGCACACUAUGCAAUUUUUCUAAAUGCAGAGAAUCCUCAGAUGACCUAAUACAUUUGCCAAACAUUUCUGUGUGGAAUAUAGUAUCCCAC